GAAAUGUAAAGUCAACAUAAAAGCUGCUAACUUUUAUAACAGUGGUUAAAUUCCGUUAACAUUUCU
Molecule: transfer RNA, 66 nt
Filed under: Fer nigripennis
Lineage: Eukaryota; Metazoa; Arthropoda; Insecta; Orthoptera; Acrididae
Description: tRNA-Ser
Source: RNAcentral